This 253-nucleotide ribosomal RNA is filed under the name uncultured bacterium. RNAcentral describes it as "partial 16S ribosomal RNA". It matches the Rfam family "Bacterial small subunit ribosomal RNA", at positions 80 to 334 of the family's 1533-position model. The record is from RNAcentral.
UUUCUUUGCUGGCGACCGGCGCACGGGUGAGUAACACGUAUCCAACCUGCCCUUUACUCGGGGAUAGCCUUUCGAAAGAAAGAUUAAUACCCGAUAGCAUAAUGAUUCCGCAUGGUUUCAUUAUUAAAGGAUUCCGGUAAAGGAUGGGGAUGCGUUCCAUUAGGUUGUUGGUGGGGUAACGGCCCACCAAGCCUUCGAUGGAUAGGGGUUCUGAGAGGAAGGUCUCCCACAUUGGAACUGAGACACGGUCCAA